This 592-nucleotide small RNA is filed under the name Pongo abelii (Sumatran orangutan). RNAcentral describes it as "3prime overlapping ncRNA". Lineage: Eukaryota; Metazoa; Chordata; Mammalia; Primates; Hominidae. The record is from RNAcentral.
ACUUCCACCGCAGACCUUCGGAGGGCUCCGCCCAGAGUCUGAUGGAGUCUCACUCUGUCACCCAGGCUGGAGGGCAGUGGCACGAUCUCGGCUCACUGCAACCUCUGCCUCCCAGGUUCAAGCAAUUCUGCCUCAGCCUCCUGAGUAGCUGGGAUUACCGGCAUGUGCCACCACACCCAGCUGAUUUUUGUAUUUUUAGUAGAGAUGGUGUUUCACCAUGUUGGCCAGGCUGGUCUGGAACUCCUGACCUUGAGUGAUCCGCCCGCCUCAGCUUCCCAAAGUGCUGGGAUUAGGGGCAUAAGCCGCCGCGCCGGCCUGGACUUCUGACCUCUAAACAAUCUCCUGGCCCUACCCAACACCCCACAGACACACCAUCCAUGCACACAACCAUGUGAGUCUGAAAUUACAGCAUUAGAAGUUCACUCCUUUGCUUUCUCUCAGAGUCAUGCUUUAAAACAUAAAAAUUGGGAGAAAUGACACAGUAUGCACACUCAUUCUGGGGUGUUAGUAACUUGUCAGCUGAGGCUGGUGAGGUGCCCUGGAAAGUGUGGGAAGAGGCACUUGGCAGUGACCAGUGACAGGCUCCCGGGCU